AGUGAACGCUGGCGGUAGGCCUAACACAUGCAAGUCGAACGGCAGCACAGUAAGAGCUUGCUCUUACGGGUGGCGAGUGGCGGACGGGUGAGGAAUACAUCGGAAUCUACUUUUUCGUGGGGGAUAACGUAGGGAAACUUACGCUAAUACCGCAUACGACCUACGGGUGAAAGCAGGGGAUCUUCGGACCUUGCGCGAUUGAAUGAGCCGAUGUCGGAUUAGCUAGUUGGCGGGGUAAAGGCCCACCAAGGCGACGAUCCGUAGCUGGUCUGAGAGGAUGAUCAGCCACACUGGAACUGAGACACGGUCCAGACUCCUACGGGAGGCAGCAGUGGGGAAUAUUGGGCAAUGGGCGAAAGCCUGAUCCAGCCAUACCGCGUGGGUGAAGAAGGCCUUCGGGUUGUAAAACCCUUUUGUUUGGGAAGAAAAGCAGCAGGUUAAUACCCCGCUGUUCUGACGGUACCCAAAGAAUAAGCACCGGCUAACUUCGUG
This 492-nucleotide ribosomal RNA is filed under the name uncultured bacterium. RNAcentral describes it as "partial 16S ribosomal RNA". It matches the Rfam family "Bacterial small subunit ribosomal RNA", at positions 29 to 507 of the family's 1533-position model. The record is from RNAcentral.